GACCUUCAAAACAUUUUCUAGUCUGUACAUGCCAUAGUUAGAAUUUAAAUAUUUUAAAUACCGAGACAAUAGAUAAGGUGAUAAACUUGCUGACGAUCCCUGAGCUUGAAGCUUGAUUUGAUUUUUGUUUUUUGAUCUAUAAACAGAUAGACGUAAACAAACAAAGUAAGCUUACAUAGCUUAGUAAGUCUAUAGCAUAACUAAAAUAUAUAUAAAAGAAGAAUAAUAUAAAUUCAUAAUUAAACUUAUUGAAAUCGCAAAUACGACAUAUAUUACUAUUUGAAUAUUUGUUACUCAUAAUCAUCUUAUUUAUAAUCAAAUAUAUGUACUCGUAGAAUGCUUACCAAUGAAUAUAUAAAUAUGUAUAUACAAUAUGCAUAACAAUUGUAUAUUUAAAGACUCAUCAAAAACUUACAACCGAAUACUUUUAUAUAUCAUUUACAUAUAAACAAAUGCAUACAUCAUUAUCAAAUACCUAAAACCAAAUGCAUAUACACUUCAUAUGUGUGUAACCGAACGCAUAUUUAUGUACUUAACAAAUUUUAUAUCCGAAUAUAUAUAUACAUACACAUCAAACGAAUAUAACCAAAUACAUUUACACUUACCAAAAUGCAUAUAUAGAUUUCUCACAUACAUCUAUCUGAACGCGAAUAUACCUAACAAUUUCAUAAAAUUGAAUAUAUAUAUAUAUAAAUCCAUACUCAUCAAAUACAUAUAAACUAAUGUUUAUAUGCUCAUCAAACACAAUGACCAAAUGUAUAUACAUAUUCUAUAAAUCCAUAUGACUAAAUCAUACACAUAUUCGAUACAUGUAAACACAUGAUAUGAAUAGAUUCACCGGCACAAAACCUGCUAGGCUUAAGGCCUGAUUCAAUACACUGGCACUUAGCCUGCUAGACAUAAAGUCUGAAAUGUUUCACCGACGUCAAGCCUGCUAGACUUAAAGUCUGAAAUGUUUUACCGGCGUCAAGCCUGCUAGACUUAAAGUCUGAAAUGUUUCACCGGCGACAAGCCUGCUAGACUUAAAGUCUGAAACAUAUCACUGGUAUCAAGCCUGCUAGGCACCGAGCCUGAACACUCAAUUUAUAUAAAUACAAAUCACUUUCAAAAUGUAUAUGUAUAUAAGAUUCCAUGUAUAAAAAUUUAGCUCAAUAUAUAUAAAUUAUGCCUUUAAACCACAUAGGUAUAUAAAGUUCAGAUAUUGAAUCCAGCUCAAUAACUUAAUUAUACAUAUGAUCAUAUACAGAUAUAUAACUUAAUACAUUAAGGGCUACUAUUAAUAUCAUGCAUUCGAACAUCUUAUAGUAAUCCAAGCUAACAAUUUUGUACCUUCAACUCCAUUCAAAAGCUUCACAUGAAUAUAAUUACAUAAUUGAAUCUCACAUAAACUUAUAUAAUUAUCAUACCUAAAUUCAAUACAUAAACAUGUACAUAUAUAAGUUUGUAUAUAUUCGAGUCUCAUACAUACUUUAUGUAAUAGUCAUACCUAAAUUUAACACAAAACAUAUUCAAUUAUAUUUGUAUUUCCGAACUUCAUAUAAACUUAUAUAAAAAUUAUACCCAAACUCAAUACAAAAACAUAUACAUGUAAAUAUAUAUUUAUGUGCUCAUUCAAUUCUAUCAUAUACAUAUAAAUUUCAACUCACAUGUACAUACCAUUUCAAAACUACUUAUGCAAAUAUAACAUAUAUAUUUUUAAUCAAUCCAAUAGUUUGUACAUAUAUGUACUUACAUAUAUAUACAUUCGAACCUUAUAUUUAUAUAUAUAUACUAUACAUACCUUUCGAUUAAUAACCAAGAAUUUAUACAUAAGCCAUAUUCAUUCUUCAACUAAAUUCAAGAGCUUACAUAUAUGUGUAUACAUAUAUGUAUAUUCGAACAUUAAUCAUAUAUUUAUAUAUAUACAUAUCAUUUUUACUUUGACUAAAUUCAAGCUAUAUACUUUCAAUUUAAGCUCAUCCAAAUACAAUAUAUAUAUAUGUAUAUUAAUUAAUAACAUUAAAUUGCUAGUUGACUUACCUCGGACGGUGAAAAAUCGAAAUCGGAAGAUUAUUCGACGAUUUUAUCUUUCCCCCGAUCGAACUCCGAUUUCUUUGGUUCUUGAUCUAAAUAUAUCUAGAAUGAGCUAAUUUAAAUAUUAAAACAUUCAAUUUAAUCCAAAAACACAUAAAUAGGAAAAUUACCAUUUUGCCCCUAAUAUUUUACACUUUUUGCAAUUUAAUCCCAAUUGCAUAAAACACAAUUUACACAAAAUCUCACAACAACAUAGCUAGGCCGAAUCUUCCUUGUAUUCAUACAAGUCCAUGCAUUUCAUUUAUUUUUCAUUUUAGUCCCUCAAAAAUUUAUUUUUUUAAUUUAGCCCUAAUUACUCAAAUUUACCAAAAAUUCAAAGACAAAACAUGUUAAUCUAACACAUAUAUUUCAUAAUCCAUCAUCAAACAUCAUAGAACACAAUUAUUCAUUAAUGGCAUAACUCAAAAUAUUCAUCAAAAUCAAAAAUUCUAGCAUGGGUCAGAUGGUAUUCGAAGCAACGAUCUCAAAAAUAUAAAAAUUAUCAAAAACCGAGCUAGAACUCACCUUGAAUCAAGCUCAACAAUGGCCGAAUACCCUAGCUUUGUUUCUUUGUUUUGUUUUUGUUCUGUUUCGUGAUGAAGAUGAAGGGAAAAA
This 2667-nucleotide long non-coding RNA is filed under the name Gossypium barbadense (sea-island cotton). RNAcentral describes it as "long non-coding RNA (GBAR_LNC020166)". The record is from RNAcentral. Lineage: Eukaryota; Viridiplantae; Streptophyta; Magnoliopsida; Malvales; Malvaceae.